CACAUAUAUAUUAACUUGAACAAUAACGUAAUAAAUCAUAGAUUCAUUAUCAUAUUCGGUAGCCAAAGGACAUAUUUAUUGUUAUAUGUUCGUAUGUUACAUUAUACACCCAUAGAAGUAAAAUAUAUAUAU
RNAcentral lists this transfer RNA (132 nucleotides) under Arabidopsis thaliana (thale cress). Lineage: Eukaryota; Viridiplantae; Streptophyta; Magnoliopsida; Brassicales; Brassicaceae. The record is from RNAcentral.